AUUGAACGCUGGCGGCAUGCCUUACACAUGCAAGUCGAACGGCAGCACGGGAGCAAUCCUGGUGGCGAGUGGCGAACGGGUGAGUAAUAUAUCGGAACGUGCCCAGUCGUGGGGAUAACGUAGCGAAAGCUACGCUAAUACCGCAUACUAUCUAUGGAUGAAAGCGGGGGAUCGCAAGACCUCGCGCGAUUGGAGCGGCCGAUAUCAGAUUAGGUAGUUGGUGAGGUAAAGGCUCACCAAGCCGACGAUCUGUAGCUGGUCUGAGAGGACGACCAGCCACACUGGGACUGAGACACGGCCCAGACUCCUACGGGAGGCAGCAGUGGGGAAUUUUGGACAAUGGGCGCAAGCCUGAUCCAGCAAUGCCGCCGUGCGGGAUGAAGGCC
Molecule: ribosomal RNA, 386 nt
Filed under: uncultured bacterium
Lineage: Bacteria
Description: bacterial SSU rRNA
Rfam family: Bacterial small subunit ribosomal RNA
Source: RNAcentral